CAGUCGCCACGGGAAUACGAAGGGGGCUAGCGUUGCUCGGAAUGACUGGGCGUAAAGGGCGCGUAGGCGGUUCGUACAGUCGGAUGUGAAAUUCCUGGGCUUAACCUGGGGGCUGCAUUCGAUACGUGCGGGCUUGAGUGUGGAAGAGGGUUGUGGAAUUCCCAGUGUAGAGGUGAAAUUCGUAGAUAUUGGGAAGAACACCGGUGGCGAAGGCGGCAACCUGGUCCAUGACUGACGCUGAGGCGCGAAAGCGUGGGGAACAAACAGGAUUAGAUACCCCCGUAGUCCCUGUCUCUUAUAC
RNAcentral lists this ribosomal RNA (301 nucleotides) under uncultured bacterium. RNAcentral describes it as "partial 16S ribosomal RNA". It matches the Rfam family "Bacterial small subunit ribosomal RNA", at positions 509 to 807 of the family's 1533-position model. The record is from RNAcentral.